Molecule: ribosomal RNA, 528 nt
Filed under: Bacillus mojavensis
Lineage: Bacteria; Bacillati; Bacillota; Bacilli; Caryophanales; Bacillaceae
Description: bacterial SSU rRNA
Rfam family: Bacterial small subunit ribosomal RNA
Source: RNAcentral
UGCAGUCGAGCGGACAGAUGGGAGCUUGCUCCCUGAUGUUAGCGGCGGACGGGUGAGUAACACGUGGGUAACCUGCCUGUAAGACUGGGAUAACUCCGGGAAACCGGGGCUAAUACCGGAUGGUUGUUUGAACCGCAGGUUCAAACAUAAAAGGUGGCUUCGGCUACCACUUACAGAUGGACCCGCGGCGCAUAGCUAGUUGGUGAGGUAACGGCUCACCAAGGCAACGAUGCGUAGCCGACCUGAGAGGGUGAUCGGCCACACUGGGACUGAGACACGGCCCAGACUCCUACGGGAGGCAGCAGUAGGGAAUCUUCCGCAAUGGACGAAAGUCUGACGGAGCAACGCCGCGUGAGUGAUGAAGGUUUUCGGAUCGUAAAGCUCUGUUGUUAGGGAAGAACAAGUACCGUUCGAAUAGGGCGGUACCUUGACGGUGCCUAACCAGAAAGCCACGGCUAACUACGUGCCAGCAGCCGCGGUAAUACGUAGGUGGCAAGCGUUGUCCGGAAUUAUUGGGCGUAAAGGGCU